RNAcentral lists this ribosomal RNA (253 nucleotides) under uncultured bacterium. Its description in RNAcentral is "partial 16S ribosomal RNA". It matches the Rfam family "Bacterial small subunit ribosomal RNA", at positions 524 to 776 of the family's 1533-position model. The record is from RNAcentral.
GACAGAGGUGGCGAGCGUUGUUCGGAUUUACUGGGCGUAAAGCGUGGGUAGGCGGUCCGGCCAGUCAGAUGUGAAAUCCCACCGCUUAACGGUGGAACGGCGUCUGAUACUACCGGACUCGAGUGCAGGAGAGGAGAGUGGAAUUUCCGGUGUAGCGGUGAAAUGCGUAGAGAUCGGAAGGAACACCAGUGGCGAAGGCGGCUCUCUGGACUGCAACUGACGCUGAGACACGAAAGCGUGGGGAGCAAACAGG